Molecule: transfer RNA, 72 nt
Filed under: Camelus bactrianus (Bactrian camel)
Lineage: Eukaryota; Metazoa; Chordata; Mammalia; Artiodactyla; Camelidae
Also listed under: 2 other names
Rfam family: tRNA
About the family: Transfer RNA (tRNA) molecules are approximately 80 nucleotides in length.
Source: Rfam by way of RNAcentral
GAGGUUAUAGCUCAGUGGUAGAGUGUGUGCUUAGCAUGCAUGAGGCCCUGGGUUCAAUCCCAAGUACCUCCA